RNAcentral lists this ribosomal RNA (356 nucleotides) under uncultured bacterium. RNAcentral describes it as "bacterial SSU rRNA". It matches the Rfam family "Bacterial small subunit ribosomal RNA", at positions 29 to 414 of the family's 1533-position model. The record is from RNAcentral.
AACGAACGCUGGCGGCAUGCCUAACACAUGCAAGUCGAACGAGACCUUCGGGUCUAGUGGCGCACGGGUGCGUAACACGUGGGAAUUUGCCUCGGGGUAUGGAAUAACUCAGGGAAACUUGAGCUAAUACCAUAUAAUGUCUUCGGACCAAAGAUUUAUCGCCCUGAGAUAAGCCCGCGUAGGAUUAGCUAGUUGGUGGGUAAAGGCUCACCAAGGCGACGAUCCUUAGCUGGUCUGAGAGGAUGAUCAGCCACACUGGGACUGAGACACGGCCCAGACUCCUACGGGAGGCAGCAGUGGGAAUAUUGGACAAUGGGCGAAAGCCUGAUCCAGCAAUGCCGCGUGAGUGAUGAAGG